AUGGACACACGAACUCCAGAGAUGAUUCCCCGGAGGUAAAACAUUACCUGCAGGUUAUUUGACCCUCCACCUGGGCUGAAGGUGCUUAUUACAGGAUACUGGAUGCUUGCAGGCAGGAGGUGGGCAUCUCCGCCGGCUUGUUGUUGAUCCAGAAGCGGUACCAGCCCGGGGACAGAGAGUGGUCGCAGAUUAGAUCCUGGAUGGCCGUGUCCUGGAUCUCCGUGGAGUCGAAGUCGACGCUGCGAUAGGGGCUACGCAGAGUCCGGUGACCUCCGGUGUAACACUCUGGAGCUGGAAGUUCCAGAUCUGUGAAUUGAAUCAUGAGGAAAUGAAAAACUGCAGUAUCUCAGGCCCCGUUUCCCCCCGGAGUCGUGUCUCUAUCUUUGACUGAGUCCUAGUGUGAGGUCUGACGACAGACGGGAUGAAGAUAGACAAAACAAAAGCCACACAAGCCUGCGAGGGAAAUAUGGAGGAGUUAACCCUCUCCCCUGACACUGCAGGUCCGUGUAACCAAACAGAACAUGCCGUUUUCCACUCAAGCAAACUCUGUAAGCUGCACAUCUGUCAAGAGAAAUGGCUCAAAGUCGGGGGCUUUUCCUAACAAAGGCUAUUCCCUUUCCCCUGUUUGACUUUGUGGCGGCUGAGCAAAGUCAGGGAACACAAACACACCAGGUAUUUAGGAUGUUUUGACACUGACAAAGCCAUGAAUGGACAGGGCGAAGUUACAAAGCCUAAACAAAGUCUUACAGGCGGGGUUUGGUGUUGACAGCCCCUGGUGUUUACCUCGUCUGCAUGUUCCCCGUCUGCAAGACAAGACUCGGGGUCACAGGUUGUGCAAACACCCAGCUUUUCAGGCAGAAGGACACUCCCUGAGACUUCUGCCGCUGGGUAAACUGUUCCAAUUGGUGGCUUAAUGAGUUUACAGAGCUGGGGAGAGGUGGGGGGGGGUGUGAGCUAAUGAAGGGGGUCCCGGGGGAGGGGGUCCCGCUGUGAGGGGGGCCCUCAGCAGCCCAGAUGUGCAGGGACUCUGCAGGGAGCUCUGCCGUUUCUCAGGAAAGGAGAUUAACUUGGGAGAGCGCGGUGUUAACACAACUGAGGCUUUUCUUAGAGGACUGUCACUCACCAGGAAACAGAAACUACAGUCAGGACAGGGUCAAAGGUCAGGGGGAGCUGCAGUGUGAUAUAAGACACAUUAUCACCCAUUAUAAUGCUGUGUUAUGGUGGAAAACAAAACAUAUUUAUCAAAUGAUCUCAAGUUCAGAAUAAAAAAGGGAUUUAUCACAAUCAAUUUCAAAUCAAUUUGCUUUGAGAGGACAUAAAGACUUUAAAAGUGCUAUGUGUUUCAACUAUAGUCUGAAACACUUGGCAUUUUAGUCAACUUUAGGAUCUUCAAGUCUACAGGAUAAAGUUCAGAGGGUUUAAAAAGGUUUGUUUGCACAGCAACCCUUUGUAUUGAUGAGCCGCUGAAGGCAUUUUCAGUGCUUAAGUUUAAAAAUAUCUCUUUCAGCAGGUUAACCCAACACUGUUUGAUUGUUGAAGUCAACUGGACAUCAUGUGUGUCCUGGAGUUCCAGGCGCUGCGGCAGACUUUGUUUUGGCUCAGAAAUGCCUGGUAUUCCUGUUACAAAGCUCUGCGAGGAACACACAGCGCUUGGUUUUACGACAGCCCCUCUUAAAGUUUACGACGUGAGCUUUGAUGUGUAGCCCCGCAGACAGAUAUGAGCAGAGACAGCACAUAACAACAGCUCUAACUGUCAUGUCAGAGAGAGAAGGACUCUGAAAAGAGGCUUUAACUGAAAUAUAUUGAGCAACAAGUGUCAUAUUGUGUAAUGAGUCAUUAGACAAGUUGUCUAAUCUUGUUUCAAUUACAUGUUUACGAGCGCUUCUCUGGGAUUGUGUUUACGAGUCUGCUUAUUCCCCUGUUUGUUGUUGAUUUUAAUGAAGUCUACUGCAGUGAAUAAUGUUUCAAACACUUAGGACUACAUGUUCUCUAAGAGACUGUUUUGUGGAAGUGAUAAUUAGCAGGAGCAAAGCAGGCAAAUAUUCAGGGCUCCAAGAAAAAUAUUGUAAAAGGGAUCCUUGUAUUGUUAAACCUCCUGUAAAAUGUUAUUAUAAUGUUGCUCGUCUAGACGCAGCUGUUCUGACUAAAACGUCUUGUAAAUCUUCCUGUUUUGUGUUUUCUCACCAACAUGUGAUUUGUUUUAGCAGAAAUUAACAAUAUAUACGACAAAAAGUGAUCUUGAAGGUUUAAAUACAUAUUGGUAAGCAAUACAUCUGCCAUUGUCAGUCGGUGUGUAUGUAUGUGCAAACUGUGUAUAAGUACAUAAGUCGUGUUAAUACUUUGAUGUCAUUUUAUCGUGAUAUGUAGUUUGUACGAUUCCAGAACAAAUGUCCUUUCAGACACAUUAAAGUAUGUCUUAUCGAG
Molecule: long non-coding RNA, 2424 nt
Organism: Trematomus bernacchii (emerald rockcod)
Lineage: Eukaryota; Metazoa; Chordata; Actinopteri; Perciformes; Nototheniidae
Exons: 4
Source: RefSeq, a predicted model, not a curated record